UCAUUUUUCAUUCUAGAAGAAAAAGCUGGAAAAAGACACCGAAGCAGUGAGGUAUCUCUUCCCAUCUCUAAAACUAGCCCAAACCCUUUAGCUGAGGCGUCUCGUGCUAGGAAGGGCACAGUGCAGCUGGUCUGAGGGUGCCCGCGUGGCACUGUGGGUCAGUGCGAUGAUGCUGAGAAACACUUUUUUUUUUCACUUUUUUUUGCCACUCCUGGGCAGGCUGAACUUUCUUUCACGCUAGGCGGCUCUCCUUACGGGGCACACUCCUUGCGCGUGGGGCUCCCCUACUCGGGGACACUCCUGCGUGGCAGGGCACUCCUUGCACACAUCAGCACUGCGCAUGGGCCAGCUCCACACGGGUCAAGGAGGCCCGGGGUUUGAACCAUGGACCUCCCAUGUGGUAGGAGGAUGCCCUAUCCCUUGGGCCAAAUCCAUUUCCCCUGAGAAACCUUAAAAUCUUAUUUUCUGACCUGAGGCCACUUCUGGCAACACCCUCCAAAGAAUCCCUUCUAAAACUUAGGGAGAAAUGGGUGCACUAAGACGUUUCACCACAUUUUUCAAAUAGUAGCAGAAGCGGAGGCACCCUACACGCCUACCCAUCUAAUAGGUGAGCAAACUCCAGCACAUCUCCAUGGAAUGUUGCAGGAGGCUUAGGAAGACUCCAGCAGCCUGGGAAGUGUCUGUAGAGUUAGAAGAACAGGAUAUCAAAUCCCUCCCACCUGAUUUCACAUGUUUUCAGAAGAAGUUCGACCCCAAAACAACAAACAAAAACCCUUAUAGGAAAUACACCAACAUGUCCAUAUUGGUGGCAGAUCCAGGUCCAGUCUUAAAGGCAAGAGUCCUGGGUCAAAGGCCGCACCGCAGCUCAGACUUAAAAAGCCCAGAUCCAAGAAAUGAAUCGGGAAGCGACCCGCCGUGGCGGCUGAGGGGGCGGAGCUCUGAGACCACCUUGCAAGAGGGGCCCUUGGGGUGGGGGAGCCCCUCUACCCAGGCCCCCCCCUCCUCGGGGCCCCCCUCCGUCUCCAAGCCUUAAUGUGAUGGGGCCUGCUGGGGGGCAGCACAAGAGCCCCCCACUGCUCCAGUUUCAGCAGGACCAGGAAGCAGAGUGCGCACUGCAGGGUCCCAAUAAAGUUUGCUCUAUGAGGAU
This 1147-nucleotide long non-coding RNA is filed under the name Dasypus novemcinctus (nine-banded armadillo). RNAcentral describes it as "lncRNA (ENSDNOG00000052020.1)". Lineage: Eukaryota; Metazoa; Chordata; Mammalia; Cingulata; Dasypodidae. The record is from RNAcentral.